AAUUAAAAGCAAAGAAGAAGAAGAAGAGUGCAAAUGAUGCUCCAUGGAUUCCUAAAGCCCAAGGGGUCCCAAGCCUCCCAAAGUCAGCUAGAGAAGGAACCAUCGCAUCUUCCAUGGAUUCGAGAAUGGCUGGCACAGCUACAAAGUUAUCCCAACAGGGUCCCAGGCCUAUAGCGUCAACAUUUAUCUUUAACUCAUGACUCUCCCUCGUUCAUUCCACCCCACACCUCUCAUCAGCUAAUUGUGUGAUUUCUAUCUUCACAACACCUCUCCUGUUGUAAACCCCUUGCCUCUUCUCAGAGCUACAACUUGGGCAGACCCUCAUCAUCUCUUGCCUUCUAAAUGAACUCAGCUCUCUACAGUGAUCCAAGUGAUUUUCCUUAAACGUAACCCAGCCAUGUGACUCCCUUUCUCAAUUCCAGGG
Antechinus flavipes (yellow-footed antechinus) is the source of this 424-nucleotide long non-coding RNA. RefSeq lists it as uncharacterized. The record is from RefSeq and is a predicted model, not a curated record. NCBI's taxonomy places the organism in Eukaryota, Metazoa, Chordata, Mammalia, Dasyuromorphia, Dasyuridae. The transcript is spliced from 3 exons.